RNAcentral lists this ribosomal RNA (1243 nucleotides) under metagenome. RNAcentral describes it as "bacterial LSU rRNA". It matches the Rfam family "Bacterial large subunit ribosomal RNA", at positions 1564 to 2816 of the family's 2925-position model. The record is from RNAcentral.
UGAAUACGAGACGCUAAGGCGUCGAAGUAGUGUAUGUCAUACUUCCAAGAAAAGCUUGCACUGUCAUAGAUAAAAAACGCCUGUACCAUAACCGACACAGGUGGGUAGGUAGAGUAUACUAAGGGGCGCGAGAUAACUCUCUCUAAGGAACUCGGCAAAAUAACUCCGUAACUUCGGGAGAAGGAGUGCCUUAUUCGUAAGGUUGCAAUAACAAGAUCCAAGCAACUGUUUAUCAAAAACACAGGUCUCCGCUAAGUCGUAAGACGAUGUAUGGGGGCUGACGCCUGCCCAGUGCCAGAAGGUUAAAGAAGUUGGUUAGCAAUUGCGAAGCUGAUAACUGAAGCCCUGGUGAACGGCGGCCGUAACGAUAACGGUCCUAAGGUAGCGAAAUUCCUUGUCGGGUAAGUUCCGACCCGCACGAAAGGCGUAAUGAUUUGGAUACUGUCUCGGAGAGGGGCUCGGUGAAAUAGACUUGUCUGUGAAGAUGCGGACUACCUGCACCAGGACAGAAAGACCCUAUGAAGCUUUACUGUAACUUGAAAUUGAAAUUGGACUUUAUUCGCGCAGUAUAGGUGGGAGGCGUUGAUUAUAAUCUUGUGGGAUUAUUGGAGCCAUCAGUGAGAUACCACUCUUGUAAUGUUAGAUUUCUAACUUUGAAUCAUUAUCUGGUCAAAGAACAGUUUCAGGCGGGCAGUUUGACUGGGGCGGUCGCCUCCUAAACGGUAACGGAGGCGUACAAAGGUUUCCUCUGAACGGUUAGAAAUCGUAUCUAGAGUGUAAAGGCAUAAGGAAGCUUGACUGUGAGACCUACAAGUCGAGCAGGGACGAAAGUCGGUCUUAGUGAUCUGACGGUACUGAGUGGAAAGGCCGUCACUCAACGGAUAAAAGUUACUCUAAGGAUAACAGGCUGAUCUCCCCCAAGAGUUCACAUCGACGGGGAGGUUUGGCACCUCGAUGUCGGCUCAUCGCAUCCUGGGGCGGUAGUACGUCCCAAGGGUUGGGCUGUUCGCCCAUGAAAGCGGUACGCGAGCUGGGUUCAGAACGUCGUGAGACAGUUCGGUCCAUAUCCGGUGUAGGCGUUGGAAUAUUGAGAGGAGCCUUCUUUAGUACGAGAGGACCGAGAAGGACAUACCUCUGGUGUACCAGUUAUCGUGCCAACGGUAAACGCUGGGUAGCUAUGUAUGGAGUGGAUAACCGCUGAAAGCAUCUAAGUGGGAAGCCCACCUCAAGAUAAGUAUUCUCA